AUGCGCAUCCGCAGGUGCGCCUCCCGCCUGCUUGGCUCCGCCGCAGCCGCACCCGCCAUCAGCUGCUCCUCCACUGAGCCACCGCGAUUCGAGCUGCCCCCGCUCGCGCCGUCGGCCCCAGCCCACGAAUCCCGGCCCGGCUUCGUGGCGCCCGAGGCCUCCUCCUCCGGGGAGCCCUGCUGCGAGCUCAGCCGGUCGCCGUGGGACCUCAUGGACGAGCUCGACCUCUCGGAUCCCCAGGUGGAGAAGCUCUUCAAGGAGACUUACUUCAUCGGUGUCACCUGGCGAUCUAACUGGCUAUUCCUACCCAGAAUGCCUGCAUUCGGCUCUAUCAAGGAGGACCAGGAGCAGGAGGACAUGUCCGAUGGGGUUGAACUGCACAUUGCUGCAAAAAAGACAGCCAGAGAGAGGAAUGAGAGCAAGCUGAAGAAAAAUAAGGGGGUGAAAGUGAAGAAAGGAGUCUGGACGUGCAGGAAGAACGACGGCAAGGGUUGGUUCUGCCGACGGCUCACGAGAGAGCCCAACUCCUAUUGCUCGUACCACUCGGAUCUGAAGCUGAAGCCCCCCGGCAGCGAGAAGCCACAUAGGAAGAGAGCCCCGGUCAAUGUCGGCGAGGGGUUCUACUACUAUGCCGGGUUCGGCCCCGGCACCAAGAGGCGCCGCACGUCAAGCAGCGAUAGCGUGCUAGAACCUCCACUGCCUGCUGAACCACUGAAGGAGGAGGCACCAUCCGAAAUGCAACUUGAUUUUAGUGCAGCUCAGGUACAAGCGAAUGAAUCAGCCCAUCAAGGGGUGCUUCCACCAUCAGCACACGUCGUCGAUGACAAGCCCGCUCUCAACAAUUGCACCAUCGGGAUCAGCAGUAAAGAUGACGUGCCAGAACCUCCACUGCCUACUGAAACACCGGAAGAAGAGGCCUCGAAAGAGGAGGCACAGACCGAAAUGCAACUUAAUUUUAGUGCAGGUCAGGCACAAGCUGAUGACUUAGACCAUCAAGCAGCGCCAGUAUCAGUAAGUGUGGUCGACGAGCCUACACGCAACAAUGCCACUGCUUGGAUCGCAGGCCGGGAUGAGGAGAGCAGCAGCGAUGACAUGCUUGGCUGCAAUGGCGAACAACCCCGCGACAUCACCAAGAGGAAGAGCCCGUUGAAGAAGAGGUGGAGAAAGCCAGUGAAAGCCCGGUCGCUCAAGUCACUAAUGUCGUAG
This 1206-nucleotide ribosomal RNA is filed under the name Triticum aestivum (bread wheat). Its description in RNAcentral is "partial small subunit ribosomal RNA". Lineage: Eukaryota; Viridiplantae; Streptophyta; Magnoliopsida; Poales; Poaceae. The record is from RNAcentral.